AGUGAACGCUGGCGGUAGGCCUAACACAUGCAAGUCGAACGGCAGCACAGUAAGAGCUUGCUCUUACGGGUGGCGAGUGGCGGACGGGUGAGGCAUACAUCGGAAUCUACUUUUUCGUGGGGGAUAACGUAGGGAAACUUCCGCUAAUACCGCAUAUGAUCUACGGGUGAAAGCAGGGGAUCUUCGGACCCUGCGCGUUUGAAUGAGCCGAUGUCGGAUUAGCUAGUUGGCGGGGUAAAGGCCCACCAAGGCGACGAUCCGUAGCUGGUCUGAGAGGAUGGUCGGCCACACUGGAACUGAGACACGGUCCAGACUCCUACGGGAGGCAGCAGUGGGGAAUAUUGGGCAAUGGGCGCAAGCCUGAUCCAGCCAUACCGCGUGGGUGAAGAAGGCCUUCGGGUUGUAAAGCCCUUUUGUUGGGAAAGAAAAGCAGCAGGAUAAUACCCCGCUGUUCUGACGGUACCCAAAGAAUAAGCACCGGCUAACUUCGUG
RNAcentral lists this ribosomal RNA (492 nucleotides) under uncultured bacterium. RNAcentral's name for it is "partial 16S ribosomal RNA". It matches the Rfam family "Bacterial small subunit ribosomal RNA", at positions 29 to 507 of the family's 1533-position model. The record is from RNAcentral.